GGAAUGGCACAAUUGGUAGCGCAACGGUCUCCAAAACCGUAGGUUGUGGGUUCGAGUCCCGCUUCCC
Molecule: transfer RNA, 67 nt
Filed under: Aeriscardovia aeriphila
Lineage: Bacteria; Bacillati; Actinomycetota; Actinomycetes; Bifidobacteriales; Bifidobacteriaceae
Rfam family: tRNA
About the family: Transfer RNA (tRNA) molecules are approximately 80 nucleotides in length.
Source: RNAcentral